UACGUAGGGGGCUAGCGUUGUCCGGAAUCAUUGGGCGUAAAGAGCGUGUAGGCGGCCCGGUAAGUCCGCUGUGAAAGUCGGGGGCUCAACCCUCGAAUGCCGGUGGAUACUGUCGGGCUAGAGUGCGGAAGAGGCGAGUGGAAUUCCUGGUGUAGCGGUGAAAUGCGUAGAUAUCAGGAGGAACACCUGUGGUGUAGACAGCUUACUGGACCACUUCUGACGCUGAGACACGAAAGCGUGGGUAGCAAACAGG
RNAcentral lists this ribosomal RNA (253 nucleotides) under uncultured bacterium. RNAcentral's name for it is "partial 16S ribosomal RNA". It matches the Rfam family "Bacterial small subunit ribosomal RNA", at positions 524 to 776 of the family's 1533-position model. The record is from RNAcentral.